This is a long non-coding RNA of Asparagus officinalis (garden asparagus), 559 nucleotides long. RefSeq lists it as uncharacterized. The transcript has 2 exons. Lineage: Eukaryota; Viridiplantae; Streptophyta; Magnoliopsida; Asparagales; Asparagaceae. The record is from RefSeq and is a predicted model, not a curated record.
CACGCCGUACUGGUAAGUGACAAAAAUGUCCUCAGACGUUAAAAUAAAUAUCAAUUUAGGGCCAGGGUUUCGCGAUAAAACCCUAACCUCGCCUCCAAAAGGGGGAUCAGAUCGGCCAAGGUUCGAAAGAUUAAAUCGCGACGAUGAGGGCGAAGUGGAAGAAGAAACGCAUGAGGAGGCUCAAGAGGAAGCGCCGAAAGAUGAGGCAGAGAUCCAAGUAAUUGGACAAGGACUACAUCAACCCCCCCAGCAUCUAAGUAGAUAGGGAUUCUGAUGGAUCCUACACAUUGAUGAUGUUUGAGUUAUAGGUUGAUGGAGGACUGUCCUUGGUGUCCUGUUUAGGAUUUAUACCGUACAGUUAGCCGGUGGUUUCUGUUUGCGAUUUUAGAUGCUUUGAAGGAUAAACUUGUAGUUGACCUUGUUACGUUUUAAUAAUUGUCUUGACUAUGUGCGGUUUAAAUUUUUGUGUGGUGUGUCCUCUUAAAUCUAGCUUUUGUUUGUGAAUCGUCGGUAUUCUUUUGCUGUUGUCCACCGUGAGGCAACUAGUAUUGAUUUUUCA